GAUGAACGCUGGCGGCGUGCCUAAUACAUGCAAGUCGAACGCUGGAAAUCUAGCUUGCUAGAUUGAAGGAGUGGCGAACGGGUGAGUAAUACAUAAGCAACCUACCCACGAAGACUGGGAUAAUCUCUGGAAACGGGGACUAAUACCGGAUAGGUAAUCGGAAGGCAUCUUCUGAUUAUUAAAGGUUAAAAACACUGGUGGAUGGGCUUAUGGCGCAUUAGUUAGUUGGUGAGGUAACGGCCCACCAAGACGAUGAUGCGUAGCCGGCCUGAGAGGGUGAACGGCCACAUUGGGACUGAGACACGGCCCAGAAUACUACGGGAGGCAGCAGUAGGGAAUUUUCGGCAAUGGGGGAAACCCUGACCGAGCAACGCCGCGUGAGUGAUGACGGCCUUCGGGUUGUAAAGCUCUGUUGUAAGGGAAGAACGGUAGAUAGAGAAUAUCUAAAUGACGGUACCUUACCAGAAAGCCACGGCUAACUACGUG
RNAcentral lists this ribosomal RNA (486 nucleotides) under uncultured bacterium. RNAcentral describes it as "partial 16S ribosomal RNA". It matches the Rfam family "Bacterial small subunit ribosomal RNA", at positions 28 to 507 of the family's 1533-position model. The record is from RNAcentral.